CCUAGAAAAGUCGUCUGCACAGAGCAGGGCAUGGCCUGCAUUCCAAAUUUUGUUAUUCUCAAAGGUCAGUUGUUCUCAGUGGCAGACAACAGAAGCCAAGACUUGCUAAGUAAAACAGAAGACAAAUUUGCUGGAAGGACAUGUGAAAAUGGGCACAAAUUAGGAAGCAAGGUCAUACUUGCAUCACUGCUGUUAGGCUGCUACCACUGACUCCUCUGCUCCUGCACUCCCAAAAGCACCAUCAAGAAAAACCCCACAGACAUAUCAGGAAUACUGAGACAACUAUUACUACAAAACUGUAUAAUUCA
Molecule: long non-coding RNA, 308 nt
Filed under: Homo sapiens (human)
Lineage: Eukaryota; Metazoa; Chordata; Mammalia; Primates; Hominidae
Description: HSALNT0060590
Source: RNAcentral